AUUCCAGCUCCAAUAGCGUAUAUUAAAGUUGUUGCAGUUAAAACGCUCGUAGUCGGAUUUCGGGGCGGGCCGACCGGUCUGCCGAUGGGUAUGCACUGGCCGGCGCGUCCUUCCACCCGGAGACCGCGCCUACUCUUAACUGAGCGGGCGCGGGAGACGGGUCUUUUACUUUGAAAAAAUCAGAGUGUUUCAAGCAGGCAGUCGCUCUUGCAUGGAUUAGCAUGGGAUAAUGAAAUAGGACUCCGGUCUUAUUUUGUUGGUUUCCGAGACUGGAGUAAUGAUUAAGAGGGACAGUCGGGGGCAUCCGUAUUUCAUUGUCAGAGGUGAAAUUCUUGGAUUUAUGAAAGACGAACUUCUGCGAAAGCAUUUGCCAAGGAUGUUUUCAUCG
Molecule: ribosomal RNA, 388 nt
Filed under: Gephyrocapsa cf. oceanica
Lineage: Eukaryota; Haptophyta; Isochrysidales; Noelaerhabdaceae
Description: partial small subunit ribosomal RNA
Rfam family: Eukaryotic small subunit ribosomal RNA
Source: RNAcentral